This is a non-coding RNA of Acanthosepion pharaonis, 109 nucleotides long. Lineage: Eukaryota; Metazoa; Mollusca; Cephalopoda; Sepiida; Sepiidae. The record is from the annotation of a GenBank genome assembly.
UUACGACCACAUCAUGUUGAACCACCGGUUCCUGCAAGAUCACCGAAGUUAAGCAACGUCGAGUUUGGUCAGUAGUUAGAUAAGUGACCGCUUAGUAAUACCAGGUGCU